Molecule: ribosomal RNA, 253 nt
Filed under: uncultured bacterium
Lineage: Bacteria
Description: partial 16S ribosomal RNA
Rfam family: Bacterial small subunit ribosomal RNA
Source: RNAcentral
UACGUAGGGUGCGAGCGUUAAUCGGAAUUACUGGGCGUAAAGCGUGCGCAGGCGGUUCGUUGUGUCGGCGGUGAAAGCCCCGGGCUUAACCUGGGAAUGGCCGUUGAAACUGGCGAACUGGAGUGUGGCAGAGGGGGGUGGAAUUCCGCGUGUAGCAGUGAAAUGCGUAGAGAUGCGGAGGAACACCAAUAGCGAAGGCAGCUCGCUGGGACGUUACUGACACUGAGGAGCGAAAGCGUGGGGAGCAAACAGG